ACGUUGCUGCAACUUCCACUUGUAAGUCAGAGAUCUUCGAUUUUGAAAACUGCAAGCAAAUUGUGAUGACCCCGACACAAGCCUGGUUAGGUUCAUGCAGUUUAACUGAAAAUUUGCACGGGUGGUGGAUGCUUCAUACUUUUAAAACAUUUCGUGGCGUGCUAAACAACACCAAGCAGAGAUGUUUCCUGGCAAAGAAAUUUUGCGGAGUGCUGUGCUUGUCGCCAUCGGCGGGAUAGUUGCAUUGUUGGUUUCAAAAUUGUUAGAAGGUGACGAAGAAGCAGCAGCUCAGAGAGACAUGAGAGAGAUCAGAGGAGAAGAUGAGUUGAACGAAACUGAGAAGCAGCCACAAGAAAAUGACGAGAGGUUGCGCUGAGAAGGAAUAUACGGCACAAGAGAGACAUUAUGACAGCCGACAUUUUAGUACUUUAACUAUUAGACGUCAGAUUUAUACAUGUACCUGAAUUACCAUAAUUCCUAGCUUGGAACACUGAAGUAUGUUAGUAGUUGUCGACGCGAACAGUUUUAAAGUAGAGAAUUGUAAACGUCUUAUCUAACUGUUUUCUUUGUACGUAGUUUUGUAAGAUGCCUGUUUGCUGCAUAGUACGAACAGUGAGCACCGCGAACUUGGCUUUGUAUAAAAUGAUACUGCCUUGUUACAUAACCGAUCACUGUGGUGAUGAAAUGUUAUUCAUGUCAAAGAACUGUUGUGUUUUCCUGCCGUGACCUUAUGUUCAUGGCUCAUUCGAACUUGUUCAUGAUCAGUAAACAGUAAGUAGUUUGCAGUGAAAUAUGUUUUCAUGUAGCAUUUCAUUCCAAGAUGUACACCAAGAUACCGAUUCAAGUAACUUGGUAUUCUAACUCCCCUAUGGCCGCCGUCCGUAGACUAAAAUUAUAUACCGACCAGCUCUGAUCACUCCUCGUAUCAUUACCGACUAGGAGAUAACGUACAAGCUGGGAAAAUUCCCUUCACCAGCGCCAGCUGUACCGGGAUUGUAGAAGCUCGAGUGUUGACUAAACCUGUCGAAAUUGACCAAUCAGAAUAUGCCAGAUCCUGGUAUACCGGAACGACCUUUUGUUAAGUUUGCCUAACAGAAAAUGACGUCUCUUGAUUUGCCCACAGGCGUUCUUUCGCUUUCUCUAACCGCGCUUCUCUCCUAAUUUUUCGCUAGCCGUUUUUCGCGCUGCGCCACAACUAACUGAACGCCGACCUGGAAGAGGCUAG
This 1225-nucleotide long non-coding RNA is filed under the name Orbicella faveolata. Its description in RNAcentral is "uncharacterized LOC110061924, transcript variant X2". Lineage: Eukaryota; Metazoa; Cnidaria; Anthozoa; Scleractinia; Merulinidae. The record is from RNAcentral.